Molecule: ribosomal RNA, 468 nt
Filed under: uncultured bacterium
Lineage: Bacteria
Description: partial 16S ribosomal RNA
Rfam family: Bacterial small subunit ribosomal RNA
Source: RNAcentral
GACGAACGCUGGCGGCGUGCUUAACACAUGCAAGUCGAACGGAAAGGCCCUGCUUUUGUGGGGUGCUCGAGUGGCGAACGGGUGAGUAACACGUGAGUAACCUGCCCUUGACUUUGGGAUAACUUCAGGAAACUGGGGCUAAUACUGGAUAGGAGCUCCUGCUGCAUGGUGGGGGUUGGAAAGUUUCGGCGGUUGGGGAUGGACUCGCGGCUUAUCAGCUUGUUGGUGGGGUAGUGGCUUACCAAGGCUUUGACGGGUAGCCGGCCUGAGAGGGUGACCGGCCACAUUGGGACUGAGAUACGGCCCAGACUCCUACGGGAGGCAGCAGUGGGGAAUAUUGCACAAUGAGCGGAAGCCUGAUGCAGCAACGCCGCGUGCGGGAUGACGGCCUUCGGGUUGUAAACCGCUUUCGCCUGUGACGAAGCGUGAGUGACGGUAAUGGGUAAAGAAGCACCGGCUAACUACGUG